UCCUACGGGAGGCAGCAGUGGGGAAUAUUGCACAAUGGGCGCAAGCCUGAUGCAGCAACGCCGCGUGAGUGAAGAAGGCCUUCGGGUCGUAAAACUCUGUCCUAAGGGAAGAAGAAGUGACGGUACCUUAGGAGGAAGCCCCGGCUAACUACGUGCCAGCAGCCGCGGUA
RNAcentral lists this ribosomal RNA (170 nucleotides) under uncultured Acidaminobacter sp. Its description in RNAcentral is "partial 16S ribosomal RNA". It matches the Rfam family "Bacterial small subunit ribosomal RNA", at positions 337 to 522 of the family's 1533-position model. Lineage: Bacteria; Bacillati; Bacillota; Clostridia; Peptostreptococcales; Acidaminobacteraceae. The record is from RNAcentral.